RNAcentral lists this ribosomal RNA (301 nucleotides) under uncultured bacterium. RNAcentral's name for it is "partial 16S ribosomal RNA". It matches the Rfam family "Bacterial small subunit ribosomal RNA", at positions 509 to 807 of the family's 1533-position model. The record is from RNAcentral.
CAGCAGCCGCGGUAAUACGAAGGGGGCUAGCGUUGCUCGGAAUGACUGGGUGUAAAGGGCGCGUAGGCGGUCACGAUAGUCAAAUGAGAAAUUCCUGGGCUUAACCUGGGGACUGCAUUUGAUACUGUGUGGCUUGAGUGUGGAAGAGGGUCGUGGAAUUCCCAGUGUAGAGGUGAAAUUCGUAGAUAUUGGGAAGAACACCGGUGGCGAAGGCGGCGACCUGGUCCAUAACUGACGCUGAGGCGCGAAAGCGUGGGGAGCAAACAGGAUUAGAUACCCCUGUAGUCCCUGUCUCUUAUAC